RNAcentral lists this ribosomal RNA (974 nucleotides) under uncultured bacterium. RNAcentral's name for it is "bacterial SSU rRNA". It matches the Rfam family "Bacterial small subunit ribosomal RNA", at positions 8 to 994 of the family's 1533-position model. The record is from RNAcentral.
AGAGUUUGAUCCUGGCUCAGGAUGAACGCUGGCGGCGUGCCUAACACAUGCAAGUCGAACGCGCUCCAUUCGGUAGCAAUACUGAUGAAGAGUGAGUGGCGAACGGGUGAGUAACACAUGAGCAACCUGCCCCGAAGACCGGGACAACACCGGGAAACCGGUGCUAAUACCGGAUAUCCCUAUCGGACCGCAUGAUCUGAUAAGGAAAUGGAUUCCGCUUCGGGAGGGGCUCGUGGCCUAUCAGCUAGUUGGUGGAGUAACGGCCCACCAAGGCAUCGACGGGUAGCUGGUCUGAGAGGACGAUCAGCCACACUGGGACUGAGACACGGCCCAGACUCCUACGGGAGGCAGCAGUGGGGAAUCUUGCGCAAUGGGCGAAAGCCUGACGCAGCAACGCCGCGUGGAGGACGAAGGCUUUCUGAGUUGUAAACUCCUUUCAGCAGGGACGAUAGUGACGGUACCUGCAGAAGAAGCACCGGCCAACUACGUGCCAGCAGCCGCGGUGAUACGUAGGGUGCAAGCGUUAUCCGGAUUUAUUGGGCGUAAAGAGCUCGUAGGCGGUUUGAUUAGUCGGGUGUGAAACCUCCAGGCUCAACCUGGAGCCGCCACUCGAUACUGUCAUGACUAGAAUUCGGUAGGGGACCACGGAAUUCCUGGUGUAGCGGUGAAAUGCGCAGAUAUCAGGAGGAACACCAGCAGCGAAGGCGGUGGUCUGGGCCGACAUUGACGCUGAGGAGCGAAAGCGUGGGGAGCGAACAGGAUUAGAUACCCUGGUAGUCCACGCCGUAAACGUUGGGCACUAUGUGUGGGGACUAUUCAACGGUUUCCGUGCCGCAGCUAACGCAUUAAGUGCCCCGCCUGGGGAGUACGGCCGCAAGGCUAAACUCAAAGGAAUUGACGGGACCCGCACAAGCGGCGGAGCAUGUGGCUUAUUCGAGGCACGCGAGACCUUACCUGGGUUUGACAUGUAGGGA